This 257-nucleotide ribosomal RNA is filed under the name uncultured bacterium. RNAcentral describes it as "partial 16S ribosomal RNA". It matches the Rfam family "Bacterial small subunit ribosomal RNA", at positions 335 to 608 of the family's 1533-position model. The record is from RNAcentral.
UGUCCUACGGGGCGCAGCAGUGGGGAAUAUUGCACAAUGGGGGAAACCCUGAUGCAGCGACGCCGCGUGAGUGAAGAAGUAUUUCGGUAUGUAAAGCUCUAUCAGCAGGGAAGAAGAAAGACGGUACCUGACUAAGAAGCCCCGGCUAACUACGUGCCAGCAGCCGCGGUAAUACGUAGGGGGCAAGCGUUAUCCGGAUUUACUGGGUGUCAAGGGAGCGUAGACGGCUGUGCAAGUCUGACGUGAAAGCCCAGGGC